This 253-nucleotide ribosomal RNA is filed under the name uncultured bacterium. RNAcentral describes it as "partial 16S ribosomal RNA". It matches the Rfam family "Bacterial small subunit ribosomal RNA", at positions 524 to 776 of the family's 1533-position model. The record is from RNAcentral.
GACAGAGGGGGCAAGCGUUGCUCGGAAUUACUGGGCGUAAAGGGCGCGUAGGCGGGAUGGCAAGUCGGUCGUGAAAUCCCUCGGCUCAACUGAGGAUCGUCGAUCGAUACUGCCGUUCUUGAGGAUUGCAGAGGAGACUGGAAUUCCCGGUGUAGCGGUGAAAUGUGUAGAGAUCGGGAGGAACACCCGUAGCGAAGGCGGCACUCUGGGCCGAUACUGACGCUGAGGAGCGAAAGCGUGGGGAGCAAACGGG